GCCCGUUGACACGAUGGAUGGGGAAAUUGUUGCCAUGAAAACAUGGCGAGACUACACGGACACACCUAGUGCCCAAAUGGACGAUUUAAGAAGUGCAGCUGAGAGUCGCGUGUGGAGACGAAUGGAUUGGGUUCAGGUUGUCAGUCCUUAUAAACCCUUCCAAAUUAGUUUAUGCUGGCUAGCUGGCAACAACAGCAGCAUGGCGCUAGUUACAACUUGAAAAUUGUGUUUGGUUUACCAUUCCACUUGAACACACUGACUCUACAUUACCAAGAAAAGAGACACAGCACUGCUCUACUCUGUCCAGUGUCCACGACUGCCAUCAUCAUGUCCAAGCUCAUCUGUGUGACUCUCUUACUGGUCUUUCUGGUCUCCAUUUGGUGCCACAACACAGUCUCUUCUACCAAAUGGUCUGUGAGGGACGUGCGUAAGUGCCGGUGCAAAGUUCUUCCCAAUGGGAGAGAGAUCUGCCGCAAGCCACUCUUUCCCAAAAGCCCUGAGGAGACAAAGCAACUGAUUAAAUGCUUUUGCAGGAAAUAUAACUUGUAUAAACUCAGUGCAAAGCUGAACUUGGAGACAAAGCGGGACUUGGAGAAAUGUUCUUUUAUCUGGUCCAACCCCUUCUGAGGAUGAGAGGGCAAGGGGGUGAACAAAUUAUUUUAAAUCAUUGUUACACCAGCAUAAUCAGUCUUUUAAACAUGUCAAUCAAAUAAAUAAAUGAUUUUUCUAUAUAAUCAAUUCACGUUGUCACGUCCUGACCAUGGUAAGCUGUUAUUUUCUAUGGUAGAAUAGGUCGGGGCGUGACAGGGGGGUUUAUUCUAUGUGUUCUAUUUCUAUGUUCUUAGGUUCUAGUUUUUGUAUUUCUAUGUUGGUUUGUUUGGGAUGAUCUCCAAUUACAGGCAGCUGGUCCUCGUUGUCUCUAAUUGGAGAUCGUACUUAAGUAGGGGUUUUUCUUCCUGGGUUUUGUGGGUGAUUAUUUUUGAGUAGUGUUUGUUUCACCUCUGCGUCACGGUUUGUUGUUUUGUUUAUUCAGUUUAUUUAUGUAUUGCAUAGUUUCACAGAGUAAAUAAAAUGUGGAACGACACACGCGCUGCACCUUGGUCCUCUUCUCCUUAUGACAACUGUGACAGAUGUUGUGUUUUUAUUCAUUUUUGUCUAUGUGUGUUGCGUGAUAGUCAUAGUGUGAAAAUAUAAUCACAACUUAUUCAAUCAUAUUUUGCAUGCAGAGCCCCUAUACCUAACAGGUGAGUGCUUACAGUAGGUUUCACAGUGGCGGGUUGUCCCUGCCCUUUUUAUACCUGCCGUUAACAUGCGUCCCUCAUGAAACUGGUUGAGAGAAUGCCAAGAGUGUGCAAAGGGUGGCUACUUUGAAGAAUCUCAAAUAUAAGAUAUAUUUUGAUUUGUUUAACACUUUUUUGGUUACUACAUGAUUCCAUAUGUGUUAUUUUAUAGUUUUUAUUUUGCAAUGUAGAAAAUAGUACAAAUAAAGAAAAACCCUUGAAUAAGUAGGUGUCCAAACUUCUGACUGGUACUGUGCAUAAAUUCCAUAUAUCAUAUGAUACUGUACUUACUAUAAAGUCACCUUUGGUCAUUCAUAACACAUACAUAAAGGCUUAAUGAUGUAAAUAUACAUGUAUUAAUACUUAGGGAAUUAUUACUAACAGCUAAAACAAAAAAACAUUAAAGACAUGUUUUAAACAUA
This 1702-nucleotide long non-coding RNA is filed under the name Salmo salar (Atlantic salmon). RNAcentral's name for it is "lncRNA (ENSSSAG00000116312.1)". The record is from RNAcentral. Lineage: Eukaryota; Metazoa; Chordata; Actinopteri; Salmoniformes; Salmonidae.